Molecule: long non-coding RNA, 212 nt
Filed under: Elaeis guineensis (African oil palm)
Lineage: Eukaryota; Viridiplantae; Streptophyta; Magnoliopsida; Arecales; Arecaceae
Description: long non-coding RNA (EGUI_LNC082152)
Source: RNAcentral
AUGUGGAGAUAUGUUCUUGAAUUAUGAUUUGUAUUCUAAUCUUCUGCAUGAAAUCUAUAGGAAGAUCCUAAGAAUCAGUGAUCCUUAUCUUUUGGGCUAUGUGGGCCUAAUGUUGGAUAAUGUUGUUGGGGCGGCAUAGUGCAUAUCUGAAUCCAACUUUAGCCCGUGAUGGAAGGGCCUGUUAGAGUUAGUUUUAAAUAGCUAUGUUCUCU